This 251-nucleotide ribosomal RNA is filed under the name uncultured prokaryote. Its description in RNAcentral is "partial 16S rRNA". It matches the Rfam family "Bacterial small subunit ribosomal RNA", at positions 525 to 775 of the family's 1533-position model. The record is from RNAcentral.
ACGGAGGGUGCAAGCGCUAUUCGGAAUCACUGGGCGUAAAGCGCACGUAGGCGGCUUGGUAAGUCAGACGUGAAAUCCCUCAGCUUAACUCCGGAACUGCAUUUGAUACUGCCAGGCUUGAGUGUCGGAGAGGGAAGCGGAAUUCCAGGUGUAGGGGUGAAAUCCGUAGAUAUCUGGAGGAACACCAGUGGCGAAGGCGGCUACCUGGACGACAACUGACGCUGAGGUGCGAAAGCGUGGGUAGCAAACAG